RNAcentral lists this ribosomal RNA (362 nucleotides) under Pseudomonas sp. BACT-23. RNAcentral's name for it is "bacterial SSU rRNA". It matches the Rfam family "Bacterial small subunit ribosomal RNA", at positions 189 to 532 of the family's 1533-position model. The record is from RNAcentral. Lineage: Bacteria; Pseudomonadati; Pseudomonadota; Gammaproteobacteria; Pseudomonadales; Pseudomonadaceae.
ACGUCCUACGGGAGAAAGCAGGGGACCUUCGGGCCUUGCGCUAUCAGAUGAGCCUAGGUCGGAUUAGCUAGUUGGUGAGGUAAUGGCUCACCAAGGCGACGAUCCGUAACUGGUCUGAGAGGAUGAUCAGUCACACUGGAACUGAGACACGGUCCAGACUCCUACGGGAGGCAGCAGUGGGGAAUAUUGGACAAUGGGCGAAAGCCUGAUCCAGCCAUGCCGCGUGUGUGAAGAAGGUCUUCGGAUUGUAAAGCACUUUAAGUUGGGAGGAAGGGUUGUAGAUUAAUACUCUGCAAUUUUGACGUUACCGACAGAAUAAGCACCGGCUAACUCUGUGCCAGCAGCCGCGGUAAUACAGAGGG